This 155-nucleotide ribosomal RNA is filed under the name uncultured bacterium. RNAcentral describes it as "partial 16S ribosomal RNA". It matches the Rfam family "Bacterial small subunit ribosomal RNA", at positions 338 to 509 of the family's 1533-position model. The record is from RNAcentral.
CCUACGGGAGGCAGCAGUGAGGAAUAUUGGUCAAUGGGCGCAAGCCUGAACCAGCGACGCCGCGUGGGUGAAGAAGGCCUUCGGGUCGUAAAGCCCUUUUCUGUGUGAAGAGAGAGGACGGUAGCACAGGAAUAAGCGUCGGCUAACUACGUGCC